This 395-nucleotide ribosomal RNA is filed under the name uncultured eukaryote. Its description in RNAcentral is "partial 18S ribosomal RNA". It matches the Rfam family "Eukaryotic small subunit ribosomal RNA", at positions 592 to 976 of the family's 1831-position model. The record is from RNAcentral.
CAAUAGCGUAUAUUUAAGUUGUUGCAGUUAAAAAGCUCGUAGUUGGAUUUCUGAAUUGAAUAUCCGGUCCGCUCGUCUCUGAUGAGUGCGUACUUAUGGAUAUUGGAUUCAUUUUUUGUGAGGACAUUUAUCUGUCAUUAAGUUGAUGGAUUUAUAGACUUGCAUCGUUUACUGUGAAAAAAUUAGAGUGUUUAAAGCAGGCGUUCGCCCAUUUGAAUACAUUAGCAUGGAAUAAUAAGAUAUGACUUUGGUGGUCUAUUUUGUUGGUUUGCACACCAGAGUAAUGAUUAAUAGGGACAGUUGGGGGUAUUCAUAUUUCAACGUCAGAGGUGAAAUUCUUAGAUCGUUGAAAGAUGACCCUAGGCGAAAGCAUUUGCCAAGGAUGUUUUCAUUGA